UGAAUUAGUGUACCAAAUAACAAAUAAAGAGAAUUGUUAAAAGGAAAUUGUUAGUUCAAAUAACAGGAGUUCUGAUACAAAAUUAAAAAAAGUAAACAAAGGGAAUUGCAAAUAAUAAAUUAAAAAUACGACCAAAAAAGGAAUUAAGAACGCCUUUUGAUAUUUCCUAAAAAAAAGUAGAACAUAAAAAAGAUGAAGAAAAACGCAAUCCUCCUAGUGAACUCUCUCAGCAGACCCUCACCCACACAUCCGCGGAUGCGCCGCCCGCCUCUCUCCCUCCCGGACGCUUCUCUCUACCUUCGGCCGUCGCCUCUCUCUCUCCCUCAGGUUGUCGCCUCUCUCUCCCGCUCCGGCCAUCGCCUCUCUCUCCUGCUCCGGCUGUCGCCUCUCUCCCCGUCGACCGCCGCCUGUAUACAUCUGGUAGGACAUGUAGGAUUGGGGCGGGUUUGGGGGUCGUCGAUUGGAGGUCUUCUUGAUUGGUGGCAGCCGAACCGCCCCGAGGCCCAGCACCAGCAAGGGAUGGAUAGCCCUCCUCUGCGUGAAGCUUGUACGGCUCCCGUCUUCUGGCAGAUUGGAGCGGAGAGGUGGUUGAGGCGGAGGUCGACCCGCCGGUGGCUGGAAAGGAGAGGAGGGCGCUAGAUCCUGCAGCUGGUGAAGAACGGGGUAAGCCGGGUGAUCAAGCUCUUCCCUCCCACCCCCCCGCCGAACUCUUCGGUCGGCAUGGGCACCGCCGGAUCGGGGGCCAUCCGGCCAUGGGUGAGCUCAGGAUGGGAGAAUGCAAAAAGGGUAUACGAUGUUGUCGCCAGAAAAGGAAAGUGGGGGAACAACCUGAAAGAGAAUUGCCGAUUUACACAAAAAUAACCCUUUGUUGCAACUAUAGCACAGACUGACCCUCCGGGCAAACUAUUUCACCCAUCUAACCAUUUUGUGUGGCGCCCCUCCCAUGGGCGCCACACAUGGCAGUGUGGCGCCCGUGCCUGCGGCGCCACUCUCCUAGCCGACGUGGCGCCCUUGAUGCUGAGCUGGUGUGCCGAUCCGACAUGGCAGCAUGUGUGGCGCCCAUGGGAGGGGCGCCACACUACUCUGUAUAUAUAAUUUCUGUAUAGAGAUAACAGAAGAUUGUGGUAGCUCAAUUGGAUGAACCCUUUGCUUCCCAAUCCCAGGUCAUGAGUUCAAAUAUCUGCACCACAUGAAUUUAUUUUUAUUUUUAAAAAUUAUGCUAGACAUUGUAGUAUGUUUAAAACAUGAAAUCUAGCCUCGUACUGUUUUGUAGAGUUUUUUUUUAUCUUCUCUUGCUUGCAAACUGAAAUCUAGCCUCGUACUCUAUAUCACUGUUCUGAAAACUAAGAUUUGGCACUCGUACGGUUGUACCUACUACCAUUCUUCAAAGUUCAGUAAGUGUCAGGGAUGCACUGAUCAACAUAGAGGAGAAUGAGUGUCGUGUUUGCAAGCUAUGCCAACAUACAUCUACUGAGCAACAUCUGAGGGCUGCACUAACAUGUUCAUCUUGAUCUUGGGCAUCGAUGGCCUGUUCAAUCGGACCAGCCUUUCCUUCCUGCCAAGCAUCAGGUUACUGUUCAGUUAUGCAAAAAGAUGCUGCUUGCAGUGAAAAUGCUAGGAAAUAUUUUGGCGAUAGUGAUCAAAGAGCUGGAGUUGAUAGUGAUACCGUUGGUUUUGUGAAGAAUAAGAUGGUCGGGCAUUUUCUGGCCCUGAUAGCAAUCGUUAGUUUGGUGGAGACAUGACUUGAGUCCUGGAGGCUGCAGAGUAUGCUUGAACUGUUAUUUUUCCUAGUCCAGCAUCUCGGGUCUCGGGCUCUUAAGUCAAUUGGAUAUUUUGAAUAACUGGUCAUAAACUCUAUAUGGAGCACCUAAACAAAGAUUAGAACAGAUAGGUCUAUUUUUUUCUAUCAAACCGUGGUAUUUAUCUAUUGAUUAUUCUUCCCAAGUGAUCUGGCAGUUUGAGUAUUGCAAUAGUGUGAUUGCUAAUUUAUUGGCCCAUUC
This is a long non-coding RNA of Lolium perenne, 2000 nucleotides long. RefSeq lists it as uncharacterized. Lineage: Eukaryota; Viridiplantae; Streptophyta; Magnoliopsida; Poales; Poaceae. The record is from RefSeq and is a predicted model, not a curated record.